UACGAAGGGGGCUAGCGUUGUUCGGAAUUACUGGGCGUAAAGCGUGCGCAGGCGGCUGCUCAAGUCAGGGGUGAAAGCCCAGAGCUCAACUCUGGAAUUGCCUUUGAGACUGAGUGGCUUGAGUACGGGAGAGGUGAGUGGAAUUCCCAGUGUAGAGGUGAAAUUCGUAGAUAUUGGGAAGAACACCGGUGGCGAAGGCGGCUCACUGGCCCGUAACUGACGCUCAUGCACGCAGCGUGGGGAUCAAACAGG
Molecule: ribosomal RNA, 252 nt
Filed under: uncultured bacterium
Lineage: Bacteria
Description: partial 16S ribosomal RNA
Rfam family: Bacterial small subunit ribosomal RNA
Source: RNAcentral